This 301-nucleotide ribosomal RNA is filed under the name uncultured bacterium. RNAcentral's name for it is "partial 16S ribosomal RNA". It matches the Rfam family "Bacterial small subunit ribosomal RNA", at positions 509 to 809 of the family's 1533-position model. The record is from RNAcentral.
CAGCCGCCGCGGUAAUACGUAGGUGACAAGCGUUGUCCGGAAUUAUUGGGCGUAAAGCGCGCGCAGGCGGAUAGGUCAGUCUGUCUUAAAAGUUCGGGGCUUAACCCCGUGAUGGGAUGGAAACUGCCAAUCUAGAGUAUCGGAGAGGAAAGUGGAAUUCCUAGUGUAGCGGUGAAAUGCGUAGAUAUUAGGAAGAACACCAGUGGCGAAGGCGACUUUCUGGACGAAAACUGACGCUGAGGCGCGAAAGCCAGGGGAGCGAACGGGAUUAGAUACCCGAGUAGUCCCUGUCUCUUAUACA